RNAcentral lists this ribosomal RNA (497 nucleotides) under uncultured bacterium. RNAcentral's name for it is "partial 16S ribosomal RNA". It matches the Rfam family "Bacterial small subunit ribosomal RNA", at positions 28 to 507 of the family's 1533-position model. The record is from RNAcentral.
GAUGAACGCUGGCGGCGUGCCUAAUACAUGCAAGUCGAGCGAACGGACGAGAAGCUUGCUUCUCUGGUGUUAGCGGCGGACGGGUGAGUAACACGUGGAUAACCUACCUAUAAGACUGGGAUAACUUCGGGAAACCGGAGCUAAUACCGGAUAAUAUUUUGAACCGCAUGGUUCAAAAGUGAAAGACGGUCUUGCUGUCACUUAUAGAUGGAUCGGCGCUGCAUUAGCUAGUUGGUAAGGUAACGGCUUACCAAGGCAACGAUGCGUAGCCGACCUGAGAGGGUGAUCGGCCACACUGGAACUGAGACACGGUCCAGACUCCUACGGGAGGCAGCAGUAGGGAAUCUUCCGCAAUGGGCGAAAGCCUGACGGAGCAACGCCGCGUGAGUGAUGAAGGUCUUCGGAUCGUAAAACUCUGUUAUUAGGGAAGAACAUAUGUGUAAGUAACUGUGCACAUCUUGACGGUACCUAAUCAGAAAGCCACGGCUAACUACGUG